UGAGCGCGUCGUGACUGGCGUACAGAUGGUCACCAUCGGGAAACGACACACUGCUUGCAAGGGACGGCCGCUCGCCUGGGUCGGAUCC
This 88-nucleotide non-coding RNA is filed under the name Leucobacter chromiiresistens. RNAcentral's name for it is "ZTP sequence". It matches the Rfam family "ZMP/ZTP riboswitch aptamer (pfl RNA motif)". Rfam says of the family: Previously known as pfl RNA. ZMP is also known as AICAR. The record is from Rfam by way of RNAcentral. Lineage: Bacteria; Bacillati; Actinomycetota; Actinomycetes; Micrococcales; Microbacteriaceae.